This 427-nucleotide ribosomal RNA is filed under the name uncultured beta proteobacterium. RNAcentral's name for it is "bacterial SSU rRNA". It matches the Rfam family "Bacterial small subunit ribosomal RNA", at positions 355 to 774 of the family's 1533-position model. The record is from RNAcentral. Lineage: Bacteria; Pseudomonadati; Pseudomonadota; Betaproteobacteria.
UGGGGAAUUUUGGACAAUGGGCGAAAGCCUGAUCCAGCCAUGCCGCGUGAGUGAAGAAGGCCUUCGGGUUGUAAAGCUCUUUUAGUCGGAAAGAAAGAGUUGCAAUGAAUAAUUGUGAUUUAUGACGGUACCGACAGAAAAAGCACCGGCUAACUACGUGCCAGCAGCCGCGGUAAUACGUAGGGUGCGAGCGUUAAUCGGAAUUACUGGGCGUAAAGGGUGCGCAGGCGGUCUUGCAAGUCAGAUGUGAAAGCCCCGGGCUUAACCUGGGAAUUGCGUUUGAAACUACAAGACUAGAGUGCAGCAGAGGGGAGUGGAAUUCCAUGUGUAGCAGUGAAAUGCGUAGAGAUGUGGAAGAACACCGAUGGCGAAGGCAGCUCCCUGGGUGGACACUGACGCUCAUGCACGAAAGCGUGGGGAGCAAACA